GAGGGCAUAGCUCAAGUGGUAGAGCGCAUGCUUAGCAUGCACGAGGUCCUGGGUUCAAUCCCCAGUACCUCCU
This 73-nucleotide transfer RNA is filed under the name Camelus bactrianus (Bactrian camel). It matches the Rfam family "tRNA". From Rfam's summary of the family: Transfer RNA (tRNA) molecules are approximately 80 nucleotides in length. The record is from Rfam by way of RNAcentral. Lineage: Eukaryota; Metazoa; Chordata; Mammalia; Artiodactyla; Camelidae. RNAcentral also lists the same sequence under 2 other names.